RNA transcript from Mytilus trossulus (common blue mussel), 817 nucleotides. RefSeq lists it as uncharacterized. NCBI's taxonomy places the organism in Eukaryota, Metazoa, Mollusca, Bivalvia, Mytilida, Mytilidae. The transcript is spliced from 3 exons. The record is from RefSeq and is a predicted model, not a curated record.
UACAGCUUUUUUUUAAGUAUCAAGCGGCGAAAUUUAUCUAACUUUCAUAUGUAUAUAAAUUUCUUAUACUAUAGUGAAAUGCUACUCCAUCUGAAGAUGUACCAUCAACUAAAGAGAAAACGAAGAGAAAAAGUACUGGACUUCAAUAUUACACAAAACAAUUUUCAGUGAAUGGACGAAAACAGCUAAAAAUUAAGGCUAAAAAUGAAAAGAACAGGAAGUUUUCAAAAAUAAACCAACAAUGGAUAGCAAAGAAGAAUCGUCAUCUCCUAAAAAGAAGACAAAUUAAGAAAAAGAAAAAACAAGAAAUACAAAAAAACAGAAAAGAAGAUAGCAUUGGAUGCAUGCAUACCUGUCGGAAAAAUGAAAGUAACAGCGUUCCUUACAAUGGGAAAGGUUCACGUCGUGUUGAAUUCAUUUAUUCGCAAAAAGAUUAUGAAAAUGGGCAAUCAUUUUAUCACGCUGCUUCCAAAUUAAGAAAUUUCCCCCAAAACGAGUACCCAAUCGACGUCCACAUCUCCGAAUCACGUGGUUAUGUAUAUGUUACACAUAUAAUCAAUGAUCCGAUGGUUGGUGAUCUGAAUUUACGUCGUAAUAGAUUUGGAAGCACAUUAGUAUGGAACGAAAUAAAUCUAGGGCACACCAUACCAUUCGAAUCGCUGGCAUUUUCGGAUUCGUUACUAUCCUAUGAUAUUCCUUCCUUUGGGAAUACAGCGAUAAUACUAGGACACACUAAUCCGAUCCCAGUCUGUAUGCUUGGACACACUCGACCAUUUUGAGAAGAUAACAGUAGUUUAUGCAGUUAAGUCUGAAUUCG